This 87-nucleotide non-coding RNA is filed under the name Pseudomonas psychrophila. Lineage: Bacteria; Pseudomonadati; Pseudomonadota; Gammaproteobacteria; Pseudomonadales; Pseudomonadaceae. The record is from RNAcentral.
UGUGGGAGCGGGCUUGCUCGCGAUUCAGCCGCUGCGGUUCUUCAGGAUCGUCGCGGCGAUGCCAUCGCGAGCAAGCCCGCUCCCACA